UGGGGAAUAUUGCACAAUGGGCGCAAGCCUGAUGCAGCCAUGCCGCGUGUGUGAAGAAGGCCUUCGGGUUGUAAAGCACUUUCAGCGAGGAGGAAGGUGGUGAGCUUAAUACGCUCAUCAAUUGACGUUACUCGCAGAAGAAGCACCGGCUAACUCCGUGCCAGCAGCCGCGGUAAUACGGAGGGUGCAAGCGUUAAUCGGAAUUACUGGGCGUAAAGCGCACGCAGGCGGUUUGUUAAGUCAGAUGUGAAAUCCCCGGGCUCAACCUGGGAACUGCAUUUGAAACUGGCAAGCUAGAGUCUCGUAGAGGGGGGUAGAAUUCCAGGUGUAGCGGUGAAAUGCGUAGAGAUCUGGAGGAAUACCGGUGGCGAAGGCGGCCCCCUGGACGAAGACUGACGCUCAGGUGCGAAAGCGUGGGGCAGCAAACAGGAUUAGAUACCCUGGUAGUCCAGCGCUGUAAAACGAUGUCGAUUUUGGAGGUUGUGCCCUUGAGGCGUGGCUUCCGGAGCUAACGCGUUAAAUCGACCGCCU
This 531-nucleotide ribosomal RNA is filed under the name uncultured bacterium. RNAcentral's name for it is "partial 16S ribosomal RNA". It matches the Rfam family "Bacterial small subunit ribosomal RNA", at positions 355 to 874 of the family's 1533-position model. The record is from RNAcentral.